Molecule: ribosomal RNA, 579 nt
Filed under: uncultured bacterium
Lineage: Bacteria
Description: bacterial SSU rRNA
Rfam family: Bacterial small subunit ribosomal RNA
Source: RNAcentral
CCUACGGGAGGCAGCAGUAAGGAAUAUUGGUCAAUGGACGCAAGUCUGAACCAGCCAUGCCGCGUGAAGGAUUAAGGUCCUCUGGAUUGUAAACUUCUUUUAUCUGGGACGAAAAAAGGCGAUUCUUCGUCACUUGACGGUACCAGAUGAAUAAGCACCGGCUAACUCCGUGCCAGCAGCCGCGGUAAUACGGAGGGUGCAAGCGUUAUCCGGAUUCACUGGGUUUAAAGGGUGCGUAGGCGGGCAGGUAAGUCAGUGGUGAAAUCCUAGAGCUUAACUCUAGAACUGCCAUUGAUACUAUCUGUCUUGAAUAUUGUGGAGGUAAGCGGAAUAUGUCAUGUAGCGGUGAAAUGCUUAGAUAUGACAUAGAACACCUAUUGCGAAGGCAGCUUACUACGCAUAUAUUGACGCUGAGGCACGAAAGCGUGGGGAUCAAACAGGAUUAGAUACCCUGGUAGUCCACGCCCUAAACGAUGAUUACUCGACAUUUGUGAUACACUAUAAGUGUCUGAGCGAAAGCAUUAAGUAAUCCACCUGGGAAGUACGACCGCAAGGUUGAAACUCAAAGGAAUUAGACGG